Molecule: ribosomal RNA, 305 nt
Filed under: uncultured bacterium
Lineage: Bacteria
Description: bacterial SSU rRNA
Rfam family: Bacterial small subunit ribosomal RNA
Source: RNAcentral
GGCCUACGGGAGGCAGCAGUGGGGAAUAUUGCACAAUGGGGGAAACCCUGAUGCAGCGACGCCGCGUGAGUGAAGAAGUAAUUCGUUAUGUAAAGCUCUAUCAGCAGGGAAGAAAAUGACGGUACCUGAGUAAGAAGCCCCGGCUAACUACGUGCCAGCAGCCGCGGUAAUACGUAGGGGGCAAGCGUUAUCCGGAUUUACUGGGUGUAAAGGGAGCGCAGGCGGUGCGGCAAGUCUGAUGUGAAAGCCCGGGGCUCAACCCCGGGACUGCAUUGGAAACUACCGAACUAGAGUGUCGGAGAGGG